This 367-nucleotide ribosomal RNA is filed under the name uncultured bacterium. RNAcentral describes it as "bacterial SSU rRNA". It matches the Rfam family "Bacterial small subunit ribosomal RNA", at positions 28 to 383 of the family's 1533-position model. The record is from RNAcentral.
GACGAACGCUGGCGGCGUGCUUAACACAUGCAAGUCGAGCGGUAAGGCCUCUUUGGGGGUACACGAGCGGCGAACGGGUGAGUAACACGUGGGUGACCUGCCCUUCACUCUGGGAUAAGCCUGGGAAACUGGGUCUAAUACCGGAUAUUCACUUCUCAUCGCAUGGUGGGUGGUGGAAAGCCAGUGACAAUUGUUUCUGGCGGUGGGGGAUGGGCCCGCGGCCUAUCAGCUUGNGGUGGGGUAAAGGCCUACCAAGGCAUCGAUCGGUAGCUGGUCUGAGAGGAUGAUCAGCCACACUGGGACUGAGACACGGCCCAGACUCCUACGGGAGGCAGCAGUGGGGAAUAUUGGACAAUGGGGGCAACCU